CUACCGUGAGGUGAGGAAUACCGGCGAGAAAUCGCCGACAAGACCGCAUAGCCUCGGCGCGAGCCGAGGAAAGCUCUCUCGAGAGAGGGAGCGCCACACGAGGAGCCUGCGCCCGAUUAGCUGGCUGGUGGAGUAACGGUUCACCAGGGCGACGAUCGGUAGCUGGUCUGAGAGGAUGGCCAGCCACACUGGAACUGAGACACGGUCCAG
Molecule: ribosomal RNA, 210 nt
Filed under: uncultured bacterium
Lineage: Bacteria
Description: partial 16S ribosomal RNA
Rfam family: Bacterial small subunit ribosomal RNA
Source: RNAcentral